This 368-nucleotide ribosomal RNA is filed under the name uncultured bacterium. RNAcentral describes it as "partial 16S ribosomal RNA". It matches the Rfam family "Bacterial small subunit ribosomal RNA", at positions 338 to 723 of the family's 1533-position model. The record is from RNAcentral.
CCUACGGGGGGCAGCAGUGGGGAAUAUUGCACAAUGGGGGGAACCCUGAUGCAGCGACGCCGCGUGAGUGAAGAAGUAAUUCGUUAUGUAAAGCUCUAUCAGCAGGGGAGAAAAUGACGGUACCUGAGUAAGAAGCCCCGGCUAACUACGGGCCAGCAGCCGCGGUAAUACGUAGGGGGCAAGCGUUAUCCGGAUUUACUGGGUGUAAAGGGAGAGUAGACGGCAGUGCAAGUCUGGAGUGAAAGUCGGGGGCUCAACCCCCGGAGUGCUAUGGAAACUGUACGGCGGGAGGGAAGGAGAGGUAAGGGGAAUGCCGAGUGUAGCGGUGAAAUGCGUAGAUAUUAGGAGGAACACCAGUGGCGAAGGCG